UGGCUGGUGAGGAGAGGUCGCUGUCACACGCGAGCAGCGAGUUUACCCAAAUUUUGACAGUGUUCGUGGACGGAAGGUUUCGUGCUCGGGUUUGCCGUGUCAUCAAAUAAAUUGCGUUUUGGAUCGUACGCUGAUAUCAAUUUCUGAUUUCCACACAACCAGCAAAGAUUCAUUUACAAAUACGCUCAGAUUGACAUUUCUAUGCGAUCCAAACACAACCAAUUCAACGUGACACGACCAAACUCGAGACCUAACACUUUCGUCAAUAUCCCCUCCCUCGGAUACUGUGCGGCAUAAAAAAACCUUCGGUAGAAAGAAGGCGCUUACAGCCUACUAAAGAUAUCUUGCAAAAAGGUUGCCAACCAACGGCCAGACAAAAAAGAGUGCAACAAAAGCACGCAUCGUA
Anopheles maculipalpis is the source of this 406-nucleotide long non-coding RNA. RefSeq lists it as uncharacterized. The record is from RefSeq and is a predicted model, not a curated record. The transcript has 4 exons. NCBI's taxonomy places the organism in Eukaryota, Metazoa, Arthropoda, Insecta, Diptera, Culicidae.